UGCAGUCGAACGGAAGUCGUUGUAUGAAAUGGAAAUGGACAGAGAACUUGUUCGAAGAAAGUUGAAGUAGACUUACAACAAUGGCUUUAGUGGCGGACUGGUGAGUAACGCGUAAGGAACCUGCCUUUUAGAGGGGAAUAACAAUGAGAAAUCAUUGCUAAUACCGCAUAUGCCGAGAGAAUCACAUGGUACAAUCGGGAAAGGAGCAAUUCGCUAAAAGAUGGCCUUGCGUCUGAUUAGAUAGUUGGUGGGGUAACGGCCUACCAAGUCGACGAUCAGUAGCCGGACUGAGAGGUUGAACGGCCACAUUGGGACUGAGAUACGGCCCAGACUCCUACGGGAGGCAGCAGUCGGGAAUAUUGCGCAAUGGAGGAAACUCUGACGCAGUGACGCCGCGUAUAGGAAGAAGGUUUUCGGAUUGUAAACUAUUGUCGUUAGGGAAGAGAAAGGACAGUACCUAAGGAGGAAGCUCCGGCUAACUACGUGCCAGCAGCCGCGGUAAUACGUAGGGAGCGAGCGUUAUCCGGAAUUAUUGGGUGUAAAGGGUGCGUAGACGGGAAGAUAAGUUAGUUGUGAAAUCCCUCGGCUUAACUGAGGAACUGCAACUAAAACUGUUUUUCUUGAG
RNAcentral lists this ribosomal RNA (625 nucleotides) under uncultured bacterium. RNAcentral's name for it is "bacterial SSU rRNA". It matches the Rfam family "Bacterial small subunit ribosomal RNA", at positions 56 to 646 of the family's 1533-position model. The record is from RNAcentral.